CAAAGCCUGGAAUGUACGAUUCAGUCCUGCUAUUUUGAACCUACAUUACUUUAAACGGGAUUCCUAUAUUGUAAGACGGAUGUCGGGCCUCCUUUGAGUGGAUGGCUGAAAUCUUAUUGCGGUUGCCCACCUAGCUAUAGCUAGGAGUCAAAGUGCAGGAUUCGGCAUUUCGGGUGUAUC
RNAcentral lists this non-coding RNA (180 nucleotides) under Lachnospiraceae bacterium. RNAcentral's name for it is "6S RNA". It matches the Rfam family "6S / SsrS RNA". Rfam says of the family: E. coli 6S RNA was the first non coding RNA to be sequenced, but its function was unknown until recently. It consists of 184 nucleotides that fold into an extended hairpin structure with a large single-stranded internal bulge. The record is from RNAcentral. Lineage: Bacteria; Bacillati; Bacillota; Clostridia; Lachnospirales; Lachnospiraceae.